GCCAUGAAAAGAAGACAAAAGUAUAAAUGCUGGAAAACAAAUCAUGCUUUUUACCAUUCUUGUGGUGUUUUAACCAUUGAGAAGUUAUGCCUGGAGGUAGUAGAUUUAUACUGAUUUACCUUUAGCCUGGCUUUGUCCCCCUUUACCAUAGUACCUGGCGAUUGCCUGAGCACCUGGGCUCUUGAAUGAAUCAUCUGCACUGGCUUCGGAAGGAAACCUUCUCAGUGCAAUAGCAGCAAUAUCCGGACUGGCCAUCGGUUUCUAUUCCGUUCAGCCUCAGCUGAUAUAUUUCAUAUGUUUUUGUAGCUGAAGCUGGGCCAGGACUUCUCUAGCUUUGACAGGAGGGCUAAAUGAGAGCAGGGAAUUUUAUGUUCCUCUUCCCACAGCAUUCCAGUAACCAUGCAGGAAGUCAUUGAUCAAUGGGAUUUAGGCAGUGUGCACAAGAAAGGUACGUGUGUGUGGCCUGGUGGCCUUCGCAGCAUGUGCUAUGACGACACCACCCUCUGAUUCAAUAAACGGAGGGAUAAGAGACGAGGUGGUAAGCCACACACACCACUAUUAUAUGAUGCGUCUCUGUAGCCAAGCGAAUGCAGUGUGGUCUGCUUUUAAAGCCCAUUCUACAAGGCUGCAUGGUUCUUACUAAAGCUAUGGUUUAGAUGUGGUCAUAGGAAAGAGAUUUUCCUGGAAAGUUGCUUAACGUGCUGUCACCGAGGGCAAGUUCUCUGACCCAGUGGCUCAUCCUACCCUGGGAGCAGAAAAAGGAUCUGACCUUUCACAGGUCACUUAGGUUUGUUUUACUGUCCUGAUUUGUGCCAUAACGCAGGAGAUCUCAAAAGCCAUGUCAUCUCCUCAGGAGGCUGCUAUGCAUUCAGGCCAUGCAGCACAGGGAGGGUGGAAGACCUGGUAUGCCUGCACACUUGAGCCAGAGCUGUUAGCAGGAAUGGUUUUGCUGGUUUGCUCUGCCCUAAAUGAAGUCAAACUCGUUCCUAGGAUAAGUUCACUGACCUUCCUGGAGCUGCAUGGGAAGAGUAUUUGUCAUGUUAAAUACGCUGUGGAUAUAGAGAGCGAGCCAAAAAGAGAGAAGUACUUAUCCAAUAAAUGUGCAUCGUUUGUUUGUCAUUGCUUUAGGGCAUUAAAAUUGCCCUGGGGAGCUCUUCUAGGCCUCUACCUGCCUACAUUGUACCAGGAGCUGUUACGCUGCAAAGAAAACUUCACCUCAGCAGUUUGUGUGCGUUAUGGAAGGUGACAGUUUGACUUUUUAUCUUUCCUGUGCCCCAGUUUCCCAUUUGGCCACAGGACGUGGCUCGGGGUAGGAUGCAGCUGUGGUGAGGCAGACAGGGAAGGGGUUGAUGUCAGUUCAGCAGCUCUGUCAUUGCAUGACUCGAAGCAUAAACUAAUGAAGUAAAUCUGUUUUCCUUCUCUCUCUCUUUCUUAUCUGUGAUUUUCCACAUCCAGAGGAAAUGGAGAGGGGGAGGCAGCAGGAGGCUGUUAUCAUGCAGCGAUGAGACAGGCUGUGGAGAAAAAGAUGCUACUCCUUCAGCGCUCCCAAAUGUGCUCCCAAAUCUCAGAAGAGCUGAAUAUUUCAGCUGAAAGAGUCAGCCAUGAAAUAAUCUUUUCCCUGGACACCGGAAUAGUUAUCAUUAUUGUACAGCAUCAACAGUCCAUUGAGCUGAACAGGGCAGCCUGUGCAGAGCUAGUGUUUCAGUCUGUCCACCUGCAGCACAGUAAAUAAUGGCGAGGAUAGUUUACUGUUACAGAGGGAUCGGAAUUGCUGGCUGAAUGGUCACAAUCCAAGAAAAUGUGUUUUAAUUUAGCUAAAUGAAAAGUAAUACAUCUGGGAACAAAGCGUUCACGCAGUACCUACAGGACAGGAGAUUCUGCCUUGGAAAAACAGGAUUAUGGGGUCAUUACGGUAACUACCUCCACAAUAGCUGCUGGUUCAAUGGGGCUAAGAGGGCUCAGCUGACUCCAGGAACCUAGAAGCAGAUGAUGAGAUCUGGGGAUGGCAGAAGCAUGGGCAGGAGCAGCCCUGGGCUGCAGCAUGAGGUGGUGGUCUCACCGGCUGUCCAGAUCUUAGCAAGAACAUAGAAACGUUGGGGAGGACCACUGAGAUGGUGCCUGGGAAAAUAAAAGCCUUUCUGUCAUGAAAGGGUUAAAGUGCCGCCACCCAGUCAGCUUUUCGAAGGCAAAGUUGGGUAAGUCUUUGUAACACUGGAUCCUCAUUGCAGUGAGGAGACACUGAAGUUACUCUAACUCAGCUGUAUCAUGAGGCCUUACUUCCUAUCGGUGGGUUAUGCUGACCAGGCAGGAGAUGGUAAAAUCACCUCAGGGCGUUACCUUAACAGACAUGCCUGGAUCCACCGUAGGAGAGAAACACUCCAUCAUGAGCAUGUAAAGUUUGAUUGGGGAUUAUAAUCUCUCAAUUCUCAUUCCUGUGCCUUUCUGGCAUGGUGGUGGAAACAAAGCAAUCUGCAUUUCCCGCAGUCUGCUCAUUGCUGCAGCUCUGCACUGAGACAGUGACAAUGCCCAGCCUUCAGCUUUAAGAUUUUGGGCCACAACAGGGCAGAGACUUUUCUUGUCCGAUGCAAAACAAGCAGUGUGUUGUAGGGUAUCACUGUAUUUCCUUCACCUUCUUCUGAAGCACUGGAAAUAGAUGGGGUAAAUGCUUGUGUAAGGUCUCUGCCCUUUGGACUUGCCCGUGAUUGCCACCUCCCUGAGGUCUUGAAUCACCUGCCAGAAUUACUUGUGCACAUUGCAUUAGCCAGUUUGCUGCUUUGGUGUCUUCUGGUCUUUACCCAUGGCACAGAACAGCUUCCCUUUCAGAGGACUGUGCUGCCUGAGUCUAACUGAAGCCUUAAUGCUCAAUGCUGGCUCUUCUUGACCGGCCUGUGAAGCACAGCAGCUACUCUCAGUUGGUCAUAACAGGCUCAUCUUCAACCCUGGGAGGUCAAAACAUGACUUUGAAGAAAGCAUCCAGUCAUAUCAAACAACAGGUCCAGAAAUGUGGUUUUCUCUGAAGUGAAGGACGCGAGACCUAAAAACGCGCAGAGGGAUUAAGGCCACCUAGGCAAUAUCCACAGGACAGAGUCCUAUACUACUGCUGUUAUCUUUGAUCUGUGUUCUCUCAUUUACUACUUCUGGAAGGGAAAGCAGCACCUGGCUUUCCCAGCCUUCCUUAAUGACUUUCCCAUCAAGCGUGAAGGAAGGUAUUUCAUGCUGUGGCAGGAUUUAAGCCUUUGCACUUUGCUUCAUCCCACCACAACCGCAGACCCGCCUCACCUCCAGGAUCUGCGCUUCAGCUUACGCAUGAACUUCUCCAGCUUUGCACCUUGGGUUUUGGAUCCGCGCUUUAGCAAGAGGAAGGCCGGCUGAGAUGAAGGGGUCUGACUCCCAGCGCAGACCUUCCCAGACCGUGGGAGUGCUCCUCUUGCGCAGCUCUGACCUGGGCCCAUCUCUAAAUAUAACCGUAACUCAAUAAAUGUAAAAAAGGGACCAAGACAUGACUGCAACCUUCCAUCCAACAGUGGUUGAGUUAUUACCGCAGUUACAUCACAGCUGAAACAGGUGCAAGGAAAUAAGCCUCCCAAAAGUUUCUAUUCAGGAGGGAAAUGACUGAAGAGAGCAGAGGGAAAGGAGGAAGGCGGAGGUAAGGGUAGGAGCCAGGGGACAGAGCGGAAGUUGUUUCUCUUGGGAUGUGGCCAACUUAGUAGCUGUCCAAACCCAGGAGAUGGCUUGGAUGCUCCUUCUGUUACUGUCUUUGCUUUUUCCCAUUUUCAGGCUGCCUGCUACCAGAGAGCAUGAGAACUCCAGCAUUGCAUUGCCCUCUGAAUACCCUAUUGCCUGGGACCUCAGCAGCCCGCUGAACCACAUUUAGGCCUGAUGCAAGCAGACACACAUCCUUCCGAGCAGAUUUUGUGCAAUUUUCAAGGAAUCCUUCAAGGACUCAUCAGCUCAAGCUAGAGUUACUGCCUUCCUGACACCACUGCAAUUCACUACGUGACCAGUUACUUCCCCACUCCUGGCCUCUCCUUGCUUUCCACCUCUCCAGACUGCAAUACAGUGGUCCCAUCUUCACAUCCCUGCGGAGCAGCAGGGUGCUGCUGAGUGCUCACACCCCCAGGCAGGCCUGGAUCAAAGGAUGUUCACCGCUGAUAGUGGAGCUCCGAGUCCAGUGCACUUCCAAGUGCCACAGACACUUGGGCAUCUUCCAGCAGGACGUUGGCUGUCUGCACCCUGUGCUGUGGCUCCUUGAUGCCCAGCUCUGCCUAUGUCCUCUUCCCAGCUGCCUGGCCUAGGGCUGAACUGGGUGUUGAAACAGAGGAGCAUUUCCCAUGCUAUGUGUACGUCAGGGAUGCGUGGGGAAAGGAAGUGCAGCAAUUGCCAGAAGCAGCAGUGAAGUUACUGUAUGGUGUUAUCAUCUGAUGAGAAAAGUAAUGAAGCAAAAAUGCCUUGAGCGUGCCGUGAGCCAGCUCCUCUGUCAAGGGAUUACUGCUGAGGACCCUCAAGACCUUAUGUGCACCCAUGACUGUAACCCAUGAGUAAGAGCAUAAAGCAUGCACGCAAGGUAAAUAAAUGGUUAGAGAGA
Long non-coding RNA from Pezoporus occidentalis (night parrot), 4585 nucleotides. RefSeq lists it as uncharacterized. The transcript is spliced from 2 exons. NCBI's taxonomy places the organism in Eukaryota, Metazoa, Chordata, Aves, Psittaciformes, Psittacidae. The record is from RefSeq and is a predicted model, not a curated record.